UAGGGAAUCUUCGGCAAUGGACGAAAGUCUGACCGAGCAACGCCGCGUGAGUGAAGAAGGUUUUCGGAUCGUAAAACUCUGUUGGUAGAGAAGAACGUUGGUGAGAGUGUAAAGCUCAUCAAGUGACGGUAACUACCCAGAAAGGGACGGCUAACUACGUGCC
RNAcentral lists this ribosomal RNA (163 nucleotides) under uncultured bacterium. RNAcentral's name for it is "partial 16S ribosomal RNA". It matches the Rfam family "Bacterial small subunit ribosomal RNA", at positions 355 to 509 of the family's 1533-position model. The record is from RNAcentral.